UAACAGUUAGAAAUGACUGCUAAUACCGCAUAAGACCACAGCACCGCAUGGUGCAGGGGUAAAAACUCCGGUGGUAUGAGAUGGACCCGCGUCUGAUUAGGUAGUUGGUGGGGUAACGGCCUACCAAGCCGACGAUCAGUAGCCGACCUGAGAGGGUGACCGGCCACAUUGGGACUGAGACACGGCCCAAACUCCUACGGGAGGCAGCAGUGGGGAAUAUUGCACAAUGGGCGAAAGCCUGAUGCAGCGACGCCGCGUGAGCGAAGAAGUAUUUCGGUAUGUAAAGCUCUAUCAGCAGGGAAGAUAAUGACGGUACCUGACUAAGAAGCACCGGCUAAAUACGUGCCAGCAGCCGCGGUAAUACGUAUGGUGCAAGCGUUAUCCGGAUUUACUGGGUGUAAAGGGAGCGCAGGCGGUGCGGCAAGUCUGAUGUGAAAGCCCGGGGCUCAACCCCGGUACUGCAUUGGAAACUGUCGUACUAGAGUGUCGGAGGGGUAAGCGGAAUUCCUAGUGUAGCGGUGAAAUGCGUAGAUAUUAGGAGGAACACCAGUGGCGAAGGCGGCUUACUGGACGAUAACUGACGCUGAGGCUCGAAAGCGUGGGGAGCAAACAGGAUUAGAUACCCUGGUAGU
This 632-nucleotide ribosomal RNA is filed under the name uncultured Lachnospiraceae bacterium. RNAcentral's name for it is "bacterial SSU rRNA". It matches the Rfam family "Bacterial small subunit ribosomal RNA", at positions 144 to 794 of the family's 1533-position model. Lineage: Bacteria; Bacillati; Bacillota; Clostridia; Lachnospirales; Lachnospiraceae. The record is from RNAcentral.